CCCUUAGAUGUUCUGGGCCGCACACGCGCUACACUGAAGGAGGCAGCGUGUACUCCUGGAUCGAAAGAUUUGGGUAACCCGCGAAUCUCCUUCGUGCUAGGGAUUGAGGUUUGCAAUUAUCCUUCAUGAACGAGGAAUUCCCAGUAAGUGCAAGUCAUAAGCUUGCGCUGACUACGUCCCUGCCCUUUGUACACACCGCCCGUCGCUACUACCGAUUGAAUGAUUUAGUGAGGACUUCGGACUGGGACCGAUGCGGCUUCCGGGCUGCGUCGGUAUUCUGGAAAGAUGUCCAAACUGUAUCAUUUAGAGGAAGUAAAAGUCGUAACA
This 327-nucleotide ribosomal RNA is filed under the name uncultured eukaryote. Its description in RNAcentral is "partial 18S ribosomal RNA". It matches the Rfam family "Eukaryotic small subunit ribosomal RNA", at positions 1470 to 1796 of the family's 1831-position model. The record is from RNAcentral.